GACGAACGCUGGCGGCGUGCUUAACACAUGCAAGUCGAACGGUAAGGCCCCAGCUUGCUGGGGUACACGAGUGGCGAACGGGUGAGUAACACGUGGGUGACCUGCCCCGCACUUCGGGAUAAGCCUGGGAAACUGGGUCUAAUACCGGAUAGGACCGCACCGUGAGGGGGUGGUGGAAAGUUUUUCGGUGUGGGAUGGGCCCGCGGCCGAUCAGCUUGUUGGUGGGGUAAUGGCCUACCAAGGCGGCGACGGGUAGCCGGCCUGAGAGGGUGGACGGCCACAUUGGGACUGAGACACGGCCCAGACUCCUACGGGAGGCAGCAGUGGGGAAUAUUGCACAAUGGGCGGAAGCCUGAUGCAGCGACGCCGCGUGGGGGAUGACGGCCUUCGGGUUGUAAACUCCUUUCACCAUCGACGAAGGUUUUCUGACGGUAGAUGGAGAAGAAGCACCGGCUAACUACGUG
This 464-nucleotide ribosomal RNA is filed under the name uncultured bacterium. Its description in RNAcentral is "partial 16S ribosomal RNA". It matches the Rfam family "Bacterial small subunit ribosomal RNA", at positions 28 to 507 of the family's 1533-position model. The record is from RNAcentral.